Molecule: long non-coding RNA, 725 nt
Organism: Vicia villosa (hairy vetch)
Lineage: Eukaryota; Viridiplantae; Streptophyta; Magnoliopsida; Fabales; Fabaceae
Exons: 4
Source: RefSeq, a predicted model, not a curated record
CCAGUGUUUGAUGAAGAAGCAAUUAUGCAUUUUGAUUAACAUUUUUUACAGUUGAAUAUAUUAUUUGAGUUUAAUGAUGUUGAAUUGUUGAUCAUUUUAUAUUCUUAUUUUUUAGAUUUUGAAAAACACAAAUGAUUUAAAAGAGGAGUUAAAGAAAUGCAUGAGAGGUAAAGGGGAUUUAUUUACGAGUGGAGAUUUCUUGAAUGACAAGAUAAAACUGGGAACUGAUGGAGUUAAAGAAAGAUAUUAUAAAGAGAAAUUUAUGUGGACGGUUCGACCAACAUUGAGCUAAAAAGAAAAGAAGUAGUGCAAAAGUACACUGAAGGAUUAUUGUGGGUUCUUGAGUACUAUUUCUCAGGAGUUGCUUCAUGGACAUGGAAAACAAGAAGCGGUUAUUUUAUCUAGCUAAAUGAUUGUACCUGUGGGUUCAACGUUUUUGGUUCGUGAAGUAUGGUUGCUACUUGGUGCUGUUUUGUUGUCGUUUCUUGUUUUUUAGGUGUUUUAUUUAGAGAAUAUGACUUUUUGUUUUGGGAUUUGGAUUAAAGUACUCUUAGAUGAAAUGCAUGCAUCUAUAAAUUUGGCUAUGCAAAUGUCCUCUUUUUUUUAAGUACACCAAAUACCCUCUAUAUAUGUUAUGAUAUUUGUAAACAAGAGAAUUUGGUUUAAAAUGUUAUUUGGUAUUUGAUGGAUCAUAAUAUGUAUGCAAUGAGUAACUUAAAGCAUUA